Molecule: long non-coding RNA, 247 nt
Filed under: Solanum tuberosum (potato)
Lineage: Eukaryota; Viridiplantae; Streptophyta; Magnoliopsida; Solanales; Solanaceae
Description: long non-coding RNA (STUB_LNC001086)
Source: RNAcentral
UAAUCCCUCUAAUCUCUUCUCUCUAGCAGCCCUACUCCUCCUCCCGUCGCCCUCCCCCUGCCGCCCUCCUCCCGCCGCCCUCCUCUUCUCAUCUCUUCUCUCCUUCCCUCCCGUCUCUUCUCACCGGCGAGACAAAUCGGCAUAUCUCUCGUCUCUCCAAUCAACAUCAACAGCCGGCGAGGAGAGCAACAUCUCCGGCCAACUGAGCUCGACGUCGAUCCACUGCCCUUCUCCUUUAAUUGAAGGN